GUCUUUUUGAUUAUAAUUUAAAGUCUGACCUGCCCAAUGAGUAUUUGAAUGGCCGCGGUAAUUUGACCGUGCAAAGGUAGCAUAAUCAUUAGUUUUUUAAUUGAAAGCUGGAAUGAAUGGUUGGACGAGAGAAUAACUGUCUCAAUUUAAUUGGAUAUAGAAUUUUAUUUAUAAGUAAAAAAGCUUAUAUAAUUUUAAAAGACGAGAAGACCCUAUAGAGUUUUAUAUUUUAUUAUAUUAAUUAAGGUUAGAAUAUUUAUAUUUUUAAUAUAAUAAGGUAUUUUGCUGGGGCAGCAGAGAAAUUGAAGAAACUUUUUUUUAUUAAUAUACAUUGAUUUAUGGUUUAAUGAUCCAUUUUUUAUGAUUACAAGAUUAAAUUACCUUAGGGAUAACAGCGUAAUUUUUUUUUAGAGUUCUUAUCGAAAAAAGAGUUUGCGACCUCGAUGUUGGAUUAAAAUUAACUUUUGGUGUAGGGGCUAAAUGGUUAGGUCUGCUCAACCUUUAAAAUAUUACA
This 514-nucleotide ribosomal RNA is filed under the name Anomala hoppi. RNAcentral's name for it is "partial 16S ribosomal RNA". It matches the Rfam family "Bacterial large subunit ribosomal RNA", at positions 1819 to 2600 of the family's 2925-position model. The record is from RNAcentral. Lineage: Eukaryota; Metazoa; Arthropoda; Insecta; Coleoptera; Scarabaeidae.